GGGGAUAAGCCCAAACCGUUAUUGUUUCGGCAGUAGCGGGGUAGUAGGACUGCGACAUUGAUGAAAUAAAUGAAAUGGAACACCUUGGAAAAUGUGAUCACAGAGGGUGAUAAUCCCGUACAUGCAAGUUUAUGAAUCAUAGCAGACUCCUGAGUAAGUCGGGACACGUGUAAUCCUGACCGAAUCCGCCGGGACCAUCCGGCAAGGCUAAAUACUCCUGAGAGACCGAUAGUGAACCAGUACCGUGAGGGAAAGGUGAAAAGCACUUCGAACAGAAGAGUGAAAUAGUCCCUGAACCCAUACGCCUACAAGCAGUCGGAGCCGCUUCGUGCGGUGACGGCGUGCCUUUUGCAUAAUGAGCCUACGAGUUACUCAUCACCAGCGAGGUUAAGUACUUCAGGUACGUAAGCCGAAGCGAAAGCGAGUCUGAAUAGGGCGUCAAGUUGGUGGUGGUAGACGCGAAACCUAGUGAUCUACCCAUGGGCAGGGUGAAGGUUUGGUAACACAAACUGGAGGCCCGAACCGGUAAACGUUGAAAAGUUUUCGGAUGACCUGUGGGUAGGGGUGAAAGGCCAAUCAAACUGGGAAAUAGCUCGUACUCUCCGAAAUGCAUUUAGGUGCAGCCUCUGUUGUUUUGUUCUAGAGGUAGAGCUACUGAUUGGAUGCGAGGGCUUCACCGCCUAUCAAAUCCGGCCAAACUCCGAAUGCUAGAACAUGAAGACAGGGAGUGAGCCAGCGGGUGCUAAGGUCCGUUGACGAAAGAGGGAGAACUCAGACCAUCAGCUAAGGUCCCCAAUUAUAUGCUAAGUUGGAAUAAAAACGGGGUGGGACUGCUUAGACAGCUAGGAUGUUGGCUUGGAAGCAGCCAUUCAUUUAAAGAGUGCGUAACAGCUCACUAGUCGAGCGGUCCUGCAUGGAUAAUACGCGGGCAUAAGCAUAUAACCGAAGCUAUGGGAUUGUAGAUGAUACAAUCGGUAGGAGAGCAUUCCAUUCAGCGUAGAAGCAGUAUCGUGAGGUAUUGUGGAGCGGAUGGAAAAGCAAAUGUAGGCAUAAGUAACGAUAAUGCGGGUGAGAACCCCGCACGCCGAAAGAUCAAGGAUUCCCCGGCAAUGUCAAUCAUCCGGGGGUAAGUCGGAUCCUAAGGGUAAGCCGAGUGGCGAUCCCGAUGGCAAACAGGUUAAUAUUCCUGUACUGAUCAUAACUGCGAUGCAGCGACGCAGAGGUGACACUGCUGCGUACUGACGGAAUAGUACGUUGAAACCCGUAUUCUUUGAUACCGGUAGUGAAGCACGCCGGUAGAGAUGAAAGGUGAUAGUACCGCAAUGCUUCGGUUGCGCGGAUAAUGCAGGUAAGCUGACUGCCAAGAAAACCUGCUAAGCUUCAGGUAAUGAUCAUCCGUACUGUAAACGGACACACGUGAUCAGGUAGAAAAUACUAAGGCGUCGAGAGAUUCAUGGUUAAGGAACUAGGCAAAAUGGUCCUGUAACUUCGGGAUAAAGGACGCUCUUGUGAAAGAGCCGCAGAUAAUAGGCCCAGGCGACUGUUUACCAAAAACACAUGGCUAUGCUAAUUCGCAAGAAGAUGUAUAUGGCCUGACACCUGCCCGGUGCCGGAAGGUUAAGAGGAGAGCUCAGAGGUAACUCGAAGGUUUGAAUUGAAGCCCCGGUAAACGGCGGCCGUAACUAUAACGGUCCUAAGGUAGCGAAAUUCCUUGUCGGGUAAGUUCCGACCUGCACGAAUGGUGUAACGAUCUGGGUACUGUCUCAACCAUGAGCUCGGUGAAAUUGUAGUUCCGGUGAAGAUGCCGGAUACCCGCAACGGGACGGAAAGACCCCGUGAACCUUUACUGCAGCUUUGCAUUGAUUUUGGGUAACAGAUGUGUAGGAUAGGUCGGAGGCUUUGAUGCUGCGUCGUCAGGCGUAGAGUAGCCGUCGUUGAAAUACGACCCUUUUGUUAUCUGAGGUCUAACCCGUUAGGGAGACAUUGCAUGGUGGGUAGUUUGACUGGGGUGGUCGCCUCCAAAAGUGUAACGGAGGCUUCUCAAGGUACCCUCAAGGCGUUUGGUAAUCGUCUGCAGAGUGCAAUGGCAUAAGGGUGCUUGACUGUGAGACCGACACGUCGAUCAGGUUGGAAACAAGAGCAUAGUGAUCCGGUGGUUCCGCAUGGAAGGGCCAUCG
RNAcentral lists this ribosomal RNA (2177 nucleotides) under human gut metagenome. Its description in RNAcentral is "bacterial LSU rRNA". It matches the Rfam family "Bacterial large subunit ribosomal RNA", at positions 259 to 2447 of the family's 2925-position model. The record is from RNAcentral.